CUGGCCUCAAAUCAGGUAGGACUACCCGCUGAACUUAAGCAUAUCAAUAAGCGGAGGAAAAGAAACUAACAAGGAUUCCCCUAGUAACGGCGAGUGAAGAGGGAAAAGCUCAAAUUUAAAAUCUGGCGGUCUACGGUCGUCCGAGUUGUAGUUUAGAGAGGUGUUUUCCGCGUCGGACCACACACAAGUCCUUUGGAAUAAGGCUUCAUAGAGGGUGAGAAUCCCGUUCAUGGUGUGGACUACCGAGGCUAUGUGAUGCACCCUCAAAGAGUCGAGUUGUUUGGGAAUGCAGCUCAAAACGGGUGGUAAAUUCCAUCUAAAGCUAAAUAUUGGCGAGAGACCGAUAGCGAACAAGUACCGUGAGGGAAAGAUGAAAAGCACUUUGGAAAGAGAGUUAAACAGUACGUGAAAUUGUUGAAAGGGAAACGUUUGAAGUCAGUCGCGUCGGUCGAGACUCAACCUUGCUCUUUUGCUCGGCGCACUUCUCGGCCGACGGGUCAGCAUCAAUUUCGACCGUCGGAUAAAGGCCGAGGGAAUGUGGCAUCUUUCGGGAUGUGUUAUAGCCUUCGGUUCGCAUACGGCGAUCGGGAUUGAGGAACUCAGCGCGCCUUCAUCGGUCGGGGCUUCGGCUCACGUUAACGC
Molecule: ribosomal RNA, 642 nt
Filed under: uncultured fungus
Lineage: Eukaryota; Fungi
Description: eukaryotic LSU rRNA
Rfam family: Eukaryotic large subunit ribosomal RNA
Source: RNAcentral